GCAGAACUGCUCUGAGACCAGGGUGAGAUUUCCAGUAGAAUGAAAGGAUUGCUUCUGCUUUAACUUCUGAUGCUUUAUCAAGGCCGAGCUGAGGGCUACACCAUCGGGAGCUUGAUGAGGAAACUGAGGCACAGAGAGAUGAAGGAACUUGCCCAAGGUCACACAGCUGAGGAACCCAGGCACUCAGAUUCUGGGGCCUGCUCUCAUAACCACAAUGCUACAUCCUUGCCUCUAACAUUGGGACAACCAGGCCUUCCUCAUGGACAUUAUCGGGACUAUAAGAUAAGAUGCAUAAGGUUUUAUCUCCAGAGAGAAGGCAGUUAUGGUCCAAGGUCAAACAGAGGCUACAACUAGAAACCUCUAGACCAAAUUUGGUCCAUAUGGUGUUCUCUAUAGAAUUUCUUUCUUUUUAAUUUGGAUUUUCAAUACUUUAAAAUUAAGGGCACACA
This 449-nucleotide long non-coding RNA is filed under the name Pongo abelii (Sumatran orangutan). Its description in RNAcentral is "lincRNA". Lineage: Eukaryota; Metazoa; Chordata; Mammalia; Primates; Hominidae. The record is from RNAcentral.